CAGUAGCCGCGGUAACACGUAGGGUGCGAGCGUUAAUCGGAAUUACUGGGCGUAAAGCGUGCGCAGGCGGUUGUGUAAGACAGGUGUGAAAUCUCCGGGCUUAACCUGGGAACUGCGCUUGUGACUGCACAGCUAGAGUAUGGCAGGGGGGGGUGGAAUUCCACGUGUAGCAGUGAAAUGCGUAGAGAUGUGGAGAAACACCGAUGGCGAAGGCAGCCCCCUGGGCCAAUACUGACGCUCAUGCACGAAAGCGUGGGGAGCAAACAGGAUUAGAUACCCGUGUAGUCCCUGUCUCUUAUAC
RNAcentral lists this ribosomal RNA (301 nucleotides) under uncultured bacterium. Its description in RNAcentral is "partial 16S ribosomal RNA". It matches the Rfam family "Bacterial small subunit ribosomal RNA", at positions 509 to 807 of the family's 1533-position model. The record is from RNAcentral.